GCCCCUGCGGGCCCCCCCGGGCAAGGGCUGCAGUCCCCGCGCGACUCGGUGGCCGUGGCGCGCGGGGGACUCGCUUAUCCGGGAACCGCUCGGAAUUGAAUAAAGCAACGCGAUUGGAGGCCGCCCCGGAGCGGGAGAGAAUUCCCCCACCCCUGAACCGUUUUCGCGGGUCGGGGCAAGUGGUUUUGCAAAUGAGAUUUGCCACAGACAUUUGCCCUGAAAGUGGCAAAAUGCCAGGAAUGAAGAGAAAGAAAUGUGAGAAUCCGAGAAAUAAAUGAUUCACCUGGGAAAGUUCCAACGUCUGCAAACACUCUUAGGGCCGCCCCUAAGAGAAACACUGGACUUUUUACAGUCUUUUCUGGAUACAAUAAAGAGGUCGGAGGUAGGGACGAUCCCCUCCUCACUUGA
Molecule: non-coding RNA, 408 nt
Organism: Leptonychotes weddellii (Weddell seal)
Lineage: Eukaryota; Metazoa; Chordata; Mammalia; Carnivora; Phocidae
Source: RefSeq, a predicted model, not a curated record